Molecule: ribosomal RNA, 381 nt
Filed under: uncultured bacterium
Lineage: Bacteria
Description: bacterial SSU rRNA
Rfam family: Bacterial small subunit ribosomal RNA
Source: RNAcentral
AUUGAACGCUGGCGGCAUGCCUUACACAUGCAAGUCGAACGGCAGCACGGGAGCAAUCCUGGUGGCGAGUGGCGAACGGGUGAGUAAUGUAUCGGAACGUACCUUUCAGUGGGGGAUAACGUAGCGAAAGUUACGCUAAUACCGCAUAUUCUGUGAGCAGGAAAGCAGGGGAUCGCAAGACCUUGCGCUGAUUGAGCGGCCGAUAUCAGAUUAGCUAGUUGGUGAGGUAAAGGCUCACCAAGGCGACGAUCUGUAGCGGGUCUGAGAGGAUGAUCCGCCACACUGGAACUGAGACACGGUCCAGACUCCUACGGGAGGCAGCAGUGGGGAAUUUUGGACAAUGGGCGCAAGCCUGAUCCAGCCAUCGCCGCGUGAGUGAAG